AGAAGACAGCGCGCUAGCGUAUCUAGUCUAUGUAUAUCUAUGGUCGGCAUGUCUGGUAGCAUCUCUGGCUGCUGUUGAUCUUGUUUUUGGAGUAAAACACGGUGGAAGCUGAAUUAGUGAGGAUGACUCCUGCUCCUGUCAUCUCUAAGCUCCUCACACAUCUUUACCUGCACAUGAGGAAAAUCACUCCUGUAGAAUGCAGAUGUUCAGAGGGAGAUGAUGCCACAUCUGGUCCAGCUGAUGGAAGGUCUUGAAGUUCUCUGACUGGCCUCGACUGAAGAUGGUCGUCUCACUGGAUUUAAGAUACACAAUGAGGGACGUCUGCAGAGACUGAGAAAGAGUCUCACCACAUCCUGACAUGAGGAAAAAGACUUUAUUGAAGACUACAAUGAGAAAAACUAUCAGACAGCAGACGGCAUGCAUUCAAGUCUGUAGCUGCUGAAUUCAUGGAUGAAUCAUCUGGCACUAGAGAGGAAGACCAUCAAACAUCCACGUCAGCUGAUGGAGGUCCAAGAGUCUCACCCAACAAACAACCUACAGAGUGAAGACCUCGAAUCUGAUUGGACGGCCUCCUAUUCAGCCACAUGUGUGAACAAAUGCCUCUAAGUUGAUUUGUUUUCUAAAAUAAAUCUAGUUUGAGUCCUAAUCUAUGCCC
Amphiprion ocellaris (clown anemonefish) is the source of this 655-nucleotide long non-coding RNA. The record is from Ensembl. Lineage: Eukaryota; Metazoa; Chordata; Actinopteri; Pomacentridae.